GACGAACGCUGGCGGCGUGCCUAAUACAUGCAAGUCGAACGAGUGGCGGACGGGUGAGUAAUGUCUGGGAAACUGCCUGAUGGAGGGGGAUAACUACUGGAAACGGUAGCUAAUACCGCAUACCAUCGGAUGUGCCCAGAUGGGAUUAGCUAGUAGGUGGGGUAAAGGCUCACCUAGGCGACGAUCCCUAGCUGGUCUGAGAGGAUGACCUGCCACACGAGAGUGGAAACACGUUCCAGCCUCCUACGUGGGGGAGCAGGGGGAAAUAUGACACAAUGGGCUCGAGCCUAGGGCAGCAAUGCCGCGUGUAAGAAAGAGGCCUUCGGAUUGUAAAGUAGUUUCAGGAGGGGGGCGUAACGCGCAGAAGAAGCACCGGCUAACUCCGUGGCAGCAGCCGCUGUAAUUC
RNAcentral lists this ribosomal RNA (406 nucleotides) under uncultured bacterium. Its description in RNAcentral is "partial 16S ribosomal RNA". It matches the Rfam family "Bacterial small subunit ribosomal RNA", at positions 28 to 526 of the family's 1533-position model. The record is from RNAcentral.